UACAGAGACUGCAAGCGUUAUUCGGAUUCACUGGGCGUAAAGGGUGCGCAGGUGGUCGGGUGUGUCAGAUGUGAAAUCCCGGAGCUUAACUCCGGAACUGCGUCUGAAACUGCACGACUAGAGCAUUGGAGAGGGUAGUGGAAUUCACGGUGUAGCAGUGAAAUGCGUAGAUAUCGUGAGGAACACCAGAGGCGAAGGCGGCUCACUGGACCAGAACUGACGCUGAGGCGCGAAAGCGAGGGGAGCAAACAGG
RNAcentral lists this ribosomal RNA (253 nucleotides) under uncultured bacterium. RNAcentral describes it as "partial 16S ribosomal RNA". It matches the Rfam family "Bacterial small subunit ribosomal RNA", at positions 524 to 776 of the family's 1533-position model. The record is from RNAcentral.